This is a long non-coding RNA of Molossus molossus (Pallas's mastiff bat), 476 nucleotides long. RefSeq lists it as uncharacterized. The transcript is spliced from 5 exons. The record is from RefSeq and is a predicted model, not a curated record. Lineage: Eukaryota; Metazoa; Chordata; Mammalia; Chiroptera; Molossidae.
AGAAGAUGCUGAUAAGAUCUUGUUUAAAUGGCUCGCUAAUACAAGACGCAGAUCGUUUAAAAUGAACCCUACAUCUUUAUAGGAUGUUAGAAAUGAAGACAUUACCUCAAAAUAGGGAGAAACCCAGAGAGUUGCUGAGUCUCAGGAGAAUGGAUGUUUGUAAUUCAGAGCAAUGUUUUUUUCACAAAACUUGCCCUAUCAAGAAGGAGAACAUGUAUAAUUGACAGAUAAAUCAAUUCAAUUCUUGGAACUAGAGGAAUAUUGGAACUCCAUAUUCAGAAUUGAAAGAUGAAAGGAGAGAAAGAGGAAGAGGAAGGUGAAGAGGAUGAGUAAUAAGAGAAAGAAGAAAGCACUCUGGUCUCAUUCCUACAGCUUUCAAAAGAAAAGACAAAAGAGACUUCUGGGAUUAUGUUAUUGACAUGAAUAUAAGUAAUAAAGAAUAUGAAACAGUUCCUGGCAAAGAAGUUACCACAAGG